CCUACGGGCGGUUGCAGUGGGGAAUAUUGGACAAUGGGGGCAACCCUGAUCCAGCCAUGCCGCGUGUGUGAAGAAGGCCCUCGGGUUGUAAAGCACUUUCAGUGAGGAAGAACGCCUGGUGGUUAAUACCCAUCAGGAAAGACAUCACUCACAGAAGAAGCACCGGCUAACUCCGUGCCAGCAGCCGCGGUAAUACGGAGGGUGCGAGCGUUAAUCGGAAUUACUGGGCGUAAAGCGCGCGUAGGUGGCUUGAUAAGCCGGUUGUGAAAGCCCCGGGCUCAACCUGGGAACGGCAUCCGGAACUGUCAAGCUAGAGUGCAGGAGAGGAAGGUAGAAUUCCCGGUGUAGCGGUGAAAUGCGUAGAGAUCGGGAGGAAUACCAGUGGCGAAGGCGGCCUUCUGGACUGACACUGACACUGAGGUGCGAAAGCGUGGGUAGCAAACAGGAUUAGAUACCCCUGUAGUC
Molecule: ribosomal RNA, 465 nt
Filed under: Vreelandella stevensii
Lineage: Bacteria; Pseudomonadati; Pseudomonadota; Gammaproteobacteria; Oceanospirillales; Halomonadaceae
Description: partial 16S ribosomal RNA
Rfam family: Bacterial small subunit ribosomal RNA
Source: RNAcentral